This 440-nucleotide ribosomal RNA is filed under the name uncultured bacterium. RNAcentral describes it as "partial 16S ribosomal RNA". It matches the Rfam family "Bacterial small subunit ribosomal RNA", at positions 338 to 795 of the family's 1533-position model. The record is from RNAcentral.
CCUACGGGAGACAGCAGUGGGGGAUAUUGCACAAUGGGGGAAACCCUGAUGCAGCGACGCCACGUGAGUGAAGAAGUAUUUCGGUAUGUAAAGCUCUAUCAGCAGGGAAGAAAAUGACAGUACCUGACCAAGAAGCCCCGGCUAACUACGUGCCAGCAGCCGCGGUAAUACGUAGGGGGCAAGCGUUAUCCGGAUUUACUGGGUGUAAAGGGAGCGUAGACGGUUAUGUAAGUCUGGAGUGAAAGCCCGGGGCCCAACCCCGGGACUGCUUUGGAAACUGUGUAACUGGAGUACAGGAGGGGCAGGCGGAAUUCCUGGUGUAGCGGUGAAAUGCAUAGAUAUCACGAGGAACCCCGAUUGCGAAGGCAGCCUGCCGGGGUGCGACUGACGCUGAGGCUCGAUGGUGCGGGUAUCAAACAGGAUUAGAUACCCUUGUAGUC